This 82-nucleotide transfer RNA is filed under the name Tremella mesenterica DSM 1558. RNAcentral's name for it is "tRNA-Leu (TAA) (tRNA-Leu-TAA-1-1, tRNA-Leu-TAA-1-2)". It matches the Rfam family "tRNA". From Rfam's summary of the family: Transfer RNA (tRNA) molecules are approximately 80 nucleotides in length. Their secondary structure includes four short double-helical elements and three loops (D, anti-codon, and T loops). Further hydrogen bonds mediate the characteristic L-shaped molecular structure. tRNAs have two regions of fundamental functional importance: the anti-codon, which is responsible for specific mRNA codon recognition, and the 3' end, to which the tRNAs corresponding amino acid is attached (by aminoacyl-tRNA synthetases). tRNAs cope with the degeneracy of the genetic code in two manners: having more than one tRNA (with a specific anti-codon) for a particular amino acid; and 'wobble' base-pairing, i.e. permitting non-standard base-pairing at the 3rd anti-codon position. The record is from RNAcentral. Lineage: Eukaryota; Fungi; Basidiomycota; Tremellomycetes; Tremellales; Tremellaceae.
GUGAUGUUGGCCGAGUGGUUAUGGCGUUGGGUUUAAGCUCCAAUGGAUUUUAUCCGCGUGAGUUCAAUCCUCACACAUCACA